GGUAGCUGGAGUUUUGGACAGGGGGCAGAGGGACAGACGCAUUGAGAAGGUGGCCUCAGCAAGGAGAAAGAAACUGAGCCAUGGAGAUCCAGCCUGGUAGCCAAAGUCACACAGCUCAUAAAUGGAAGAACAAAGUCAAGCAGCCCAGGUCCAGUGUCUGGGCACUGACCGCCAUGCUAACUGCUUCAGUUGCCUCACAUGGAACGGGGCCUACCAAGCUUUCUUGCUCUUUCCCAUAAGCCAUGCUGUUUACCCCCAAGCCAACACGUCAGAACUUCUGGUUUAAUCUUCUGACUUAAGUUGUUUUGUUGAAGGUACAGAAUCUUGAAGUAAAAAUACGUGGCAGACGCACUACAGCAAAGGGAUGACAAAAAUAUCACCGUCUAUUGCAGAGAAGGGUGACUUGCAAGGAGCGUGGCAGACGGGUAUGCUCCUAGGAGUGAGCUCUCUGGAUAAUAUAAUAUGUUUCCACUUUUUGAUGUACUAUCAAAUUGUCUUCCACGGUGACUGCACCAUUUUAUAAUCCUACCAGAGUUUUUUUAAAAGUUCCAGUUUAUCCAUAUCCUCAGCAACAUUUGUUAUUUCCAAGUUUUUUUGAAUGACAAAACUAUUCUAGUGUGUGAGUUUUCAAGGUGGUUUUGAUUUGCUUUUUCCUAAUUACUAAUGAUGUGAAGUAUCUUCGUGUACUCCUUUGCUCUUUGUAUGUCUUCAGAGACACAUAAAAUCCACUUUUUAAUUGGUUUAUUUAUUGUAAUUGUGUCUUUUGUUGUUGAGCUCUUUAUGUAUUCUAUUGAAAAUUUUUAAAUACAGUGGGCCCUUGACUUACCAACUCAAUUCAUUCUCAAGGGCUGGUUGUAACUCAAGUUGGUCAACUGAAGGCUCAGGCUCCUCUAUGCAGACUUCAAAGUUUCUCUCUUGUAUCCAGGC
Molecule: long non-coding RNA, 927 nt
Filed under: Heterocephalus glaber (naked mole-rat)
Lineage: Eukaryota; Metazoa; Chordata; Mammalia; Rodentia; Bathyergidae
Description: lncRNA (ENSHGLG00000047541.1)
Source: RNAcentral